Molecule: ribosomal RNA, 726 nt
Filed under: uncultured bacterium
Lineage: Bacteria
Description: bacterial SSU rRNA
Rfam family: Bacterial small subunit ribosomal RNA
Source: RNAcentral
AACAGGAUUAGAUACCCUGGUAGUCCACGCUGUAAACGAUGAAUGCUAGCCGUUGGGGUGCAUGCACCUCAGUGGCGCCGCUAACGCUUUAAGCAUUCCGCCUGGGGAGUACGGUCGCAAGAUUAAAACUCAAAUGAAUUGACGGGGGCCCGCACAAGCGGUGGAGCAUGUGGUUUAAUUCGAUGCAACGCGAAGAACCUUACCUACUCUUGACAUCCACGGAAUUCGGCAGAGAUGCCUUAGUGCCUUCGGGAACCGUGAGACAGGUGCUGCAUGGCUGUCGUCAGCUCGUGUUGUGAAAUGUUGGGUUAAGUCCCGCAACGAGCGCAACCCUUAUCCUUUGUUGCCAGCGAUUCGGUCGGGAACUCAAAGGAGACUGCCGGUGAUAAACCGGAGGAAGGUGGGGAUGACGUCAAGUCAUCAUGGCCCUUACGAGUAGGGCUACACACGUGCUACAAUGGCGCAUACAAAGAGGAGCGACCUCGCGAGAGCAAGCGGACCUCAUAAAGUGCGUCGUAGUCCGGAUCGGAGUCUGCAACUCGACUCCGUGAAGUCGGAAUCGCUAGUAAUCGUGGAUCAGAAUGCCGCGGUGAAUACGUUCCCGGGCCUUGUACACACCGCCCGUCACACCAUGGGAGUGGGUUGCAAAAGAAGUAGGUAGCUUAACCUUCGGGAGGGCGCUUACCACUUUGUGAUUCAUGACUGGGGUGAAGUCGUAACAAGGUA